GAGUUUGAUCCUGGCUCAGGGUUAACGCUGGCGGUGCGCAUAACACAUGCAAGUCGAGCGAGGGCUUAUUUCUCGCAAGAGAGAUGAGUUCCUAGCGGCGAACGGGUGAGUAACACGUGGGCAACCUUUCCUAUCGCGGGGGAUAACACCGGGAAACCGAUGCUAAUACCGCAUGUCGUCACUGAUCGCAUGGUUGGUGAAGAAAGCAGCAAUGCACGAUGGGGUGGGCCCGCGGCCUAUCAGCUAGUCGGUGGGGUAACGGCCUACCGAGGCGAUGACGGGUAGCUGGUCUGAGAGGACGGCCAGCCACACGGGGGACUGAGACACGGCCCCGACUCCUACGGGAGGCAGCAGUGAGGAAUCUUCCGCAAUGGGCGAAAGCCUGACGGAGCGACACCGCGUGUGGGAUGAAGUCUUUCGGGAUGUAAACCACUGUCGGAGGGGAAGACAAAAAGACGGUACCCUCCAAGAAGCCCGGCUAACUACGUGCCAGCCGCCGCCGUAAC
RNAcentral lists this ribosomal RNA (506 nucleotides) under uncultured bacterium. RNAcentral describes it as "bacterial SSU rRNA". It matches the Rfam family "Bacterial small subunit ribosomal RNA", at positions 9 to 524 of the family's 1533-position model. The record is from RNAcentral.